AUUUAUAUAGUUUAAAACAAAACAUUACAUUUUCAUUGUAAAAUUAAAAUAUUAAUUUUUAUAAAUU
Molecule: transfer RNA, 67 nt
Filed under: Alucita montana
Lineage: Eukaryota; Metazoa; Arthropoda; Insecta; Lepidoptera; Alucitidae
Description: tRNA-Glu
Source: RNAcentral